Molecule: ribosomal RNA, 497 nt
Filed under: uncultured bacterium
Lineage: Bacteria
Description: partial 16S ribosomal RNA
Rfam family: Bacterial small subunit ribosomal RNA
Source: RNAcentral
GAUGAACGCUGGCGGCGUGCCUAAUACAUGCAAGUCGAGCGAACGGACGAGAAGCUUGCUUCUCUGAUGUUAGCGGCGGACGUGUGAGUAACACGUGGAUAACCUACCUAUACGACUGGGAUAACUUCGGGAAACCGGAGCUAAUACCGGAUGAUAUUUUGAACCGCAUGGUUCAAAAGUGAAAGACGGUCUUGCUGUCACUUAUAGAUGGAUCCGCGCUGCAUUAGCUAGUUGGUAAGGUAACGGCUUACCAAGGCAACGAUACAUAGCCGACCUGAGAGGGUGAUCGGCCACACUGGAACUGAGACACGGUCCAGACUCCUACGGGAGGCAGCAGUAGGGAAUCUUCCGCCAUGGGCGAAAGCCUGACGGAGCAACGCCGCGUGAGUGAUGAAGGUCUUCGGAUCGUAAAACUCUGUUAUUAGGGAAGAACAUAUGUGUAAGUAACUGUGCACAUCUUGACGGUACCUAAUCAGAAAGCCACGGCUAACUACGUG